CAAUAGCAUAUAUUAACGUUGUUGCAGUUGAAAAGCUCGUAGUUGAACUUUUGGUAGGAGCGACCUGGCCUUGGGCGCAUGCCCUUGUUUGCCGUGUGUCGUAUCUGGCCAUCCUUUUCCGUUUCGGCGGGAAUCUUUUACUGUGAGUAAACUGGAGUGCUCAAAACAAGACGUUUGUUUGGUACAUUAAAGCAUGGAAUAAUAAGAUAGGACCUGGUUACUAUUUUGUUGGUUUGCAUAGCUAGGUAAUGAUUAACAGGGACAGUCGGGGGUAUUCGUAUUUAAUUGUCAGAGGUGAAAUUCUUGGAUUUAUGAAAGACGAACGACUGCGAAAGCAUUUACCAAGGAUGUUUUCAUUAA
Molecule: ribosomal RNA, 360 nt
Filed under: uncultured eukaryote
Lineage: Eukaryota
Description: partial 18S ribosomal RNA
Rfam family: Eukaryotic small subunit ribosomal RNA
Source: RNAcentral